This 74-nucleotide transfer RNA is filed under the name Spirochaetia bacterium. Its description in RNAcentral is "tRNA-Arg". It matches the Rfam family "tRNA". Rfam says of the family: Transfer RNA (tRNA) molecules are approximately 80 nucleotides in length. Their secondary structure includes four short double-helical elements and three loops (D, anti-codon, and T loops). Further hydrogen bonds mediate the characteristic L-shaped molecular structure. tRNAs have two regions of fundamental functional importance: the anti-codon, which is responsible for specific mRNA codon recognition, and the 3' end, to which the tRNAs corresponding amino acid is attached (by aminoacyl-tRNA synthetases). tRNAs cope with the degeneracy of the genetic code in two manners: having more than one tRNA (with a specific anti-codon) for a particular amino acid; and 'wobble' base-pairing, i.e. permitting non-standard base-pairing at the 3rd anti-codon position. Lineage: Bacteria; Pseudomonadati; Spirochaetota; Spirochaetia. The record is from RNAcentral.
GCGCUCGUAGCUCAGAGGAUGAGAGCAAAUGGUUUCUACCCAUUAGGUCAAGGGUUCGAAUCCCUCCGGGCGCU